This 516-nucleotide ribosomal RNA is filed under the name uncultured bacterium. RNAcentral describes it as "bacterial SSU rRNA". It matches the Rfam family "Bacterial small subunit ribosomal RNA", at positions 124 to 674 of the family's 1533-position model. The record is from RNAcentral.
AUCUGCCCUUCGGUUGGGAAUAACUGAGAGAAAUUUCAGCUAAUACCUUAUAAUGUCUUCGGACCAAAGAUUUAUCGCCGAGGGAUGAGCCCGCGUAGGAUUAGCUAGUUGGUGGGGUAAUGGCCUACCAAGGCGACGAUCCUUAGCUGGUCUGAGAGGAUGAUCAGCCACACUGGGACUGAGACACGGCCCAGACUCCUACGGGAGGCAGCAGUGGGGAAUAUUGGACAAUGGGCGAAAGCCUGAUCCAGCAAUGCCGCGUGAGUGAUGAAGGCCUUAGGGUUGUAAAGCUCUUUUACCCGGGAUGAUAAUGACAGUACCGGGAGAAUAAGCUCCGGCUAACUCCGUGCCAGCAGCCGCGGUAAUACGGAGGGAGCUAGCGUUGUUCGGAAUUACUGGGCGUAAAGCGCGCGUAGGCGGUUUCUCAAGUCAGAGGUGAAAGCCCGGGGCUCAACCCCGGAACUGCCUUUGAAACUAGGAGACUAGAAUCUUGGAGAGGUCAGUGGAAUUCCGAGU